RNAcentral lists this long non-coding RNA (7538 nucleotides) under Ananas comosus (pineapple). RNAcentral describes it as "long non-coding RNA (ACOM_LNC005730)". Lineage: Eukaryota; Viridiplantae; Streptophyta; Magnoliopsida; Poales; Bromeliaceae. The record is from RNAcentral.
UGGAUAUGACUUAGGAGAAAACUGCGAUUAUGACCUGUCAUAUGCUUAAACUACCAGAUUUAGCUAUAGGAGCCGUUGUUAUUUUUGUAUCGCCGCAGAAUCAACGUGGUAGAUAUCCCAGAUAGUUUAGGUUUCAGUUACGCUCGUACUGGAAUGCCGAGUGUACUUUUACAGUAGCGUUCAGGCUGUUCCGGAUAGUUGGGUGUCGUCGGGAUUGACGAUGGACUCAGUUUGCCGAGUUGGCAUCAGAUUGUGCCGAAGGCACGUGACUUGUUGGUUGCUAGACCAGUUGGACCCUGUUUUCUUGACUUUAGCCUGUGAGAGCCUGAUUGAGUUCGACAGAGAUACGCUUGCAUACUCGUUUGGGUCGCGCCCACGAGUGCCACUCCGGAGUUGGGCUUAGUGCUUUUGCGUUGGUGUCGUUGCGUCCUGGUUGGACUUGCUCUCCACUAACUACCCAGCGUGGUGGUUGUUAGUGUAGCUUCGACAGGCGGGACGGGUGUAUCACAGUCUCUGAUGAGAUUGGGUUAGGAUUUACUUUUACUACAGUUGGUUAGUGUAGAGCAUGAUAGUGUAGUGACAUGUAGCUGUAGAUUGUCUUCCAGCUUUUCCUACUAUCUAUGCUUCCUUCUGUAGACUUAGUAGGUGGACCAAUGAUGUUGAGGGCGGCACCCACUGAGGACUACUUGUUUUUACAGUAGUUCUCAUGCUCAGUUGUUACCCUUCUUUUGCAGAGCGCUCGGUUCCGGCUGCUGCAUCUUUUGGGGCUGAUUGUGGCAUGGGCGUUGCGAGCUAAAGCCCUACCCGACGAGUUACUGAGUUAGAGGAUCCCUGCUGCAGGUAGAUUUACUUUUGUGUGAGUUCAUGUACAUACUGAUGUUAUAACUUGCUGGGGCGAGUCAUUUUGUACCUGGAUAUAAUGUAUGUAUAUGGAACUUGCUUUUGUUUUAUCUGUUCUUUGUUCUAGCAGCUCAAUAUUACUGGUUGUAGUGUUGUUUGAUUACAGUUUCAGUACAGAUUCGCUUCGUAUACAGGAAAAACUCCUUCGUAUACGGCGGGUCUGUUGGCGUGCCCCGAAAAACGUGUAAUCCGGGGCGUGACAGAUUAAGUUGGUAUCAUAGCUUAGCAUUAGGUCGUUGGGACCCAGGAAAUCUAUGUUUGCCAAACCUUCGGAAGGUAAGACGCGAUAGGCGUGAUUUAUCGCGAAAGUCAAUGAUUAAUUAUUUUAACUACUCCUAGAGUGGAGUGAGUGACUGGAGGAGUGCUUGUUUUGGCCUAGAAAAAUUAUGUUGGCUGCAGACGAUAUAAUUUUGAGGAGAAACAGGGGCCGCCUUCUAGACUUUUGUUUGAUUGGGUCGAGAGUGAUUGUAUUUUAUCUGACCCCGUUCCGUUCUUUACUGUUACAGCUAUAUAUCGUCGUAGAGGUCGACCGUUGUUGCGGGGGUGUGCGCAGUUGUCACAGGAUCGUACCGCACCUCUCGGGAUGCCCGAGCAGGCGGAGCAGAGUGCCUGGCAAGAGCAGAGUGUUCGACUGGAGGCGAGUGCAUCCCCUGACUUGGGUGCACAGAUAGCCGCUCUGACAGAGGUGACGAGGCGGUAGGGGGAGUUGUUGGAGAGAUUGUGCAAGAGAGUAGCUCCGCCACAGAGUAUAGUACCGAGAGCACCAGAGCCGGCUGUUCCACUUUCGACUACUUCAGCCGCAGUACCAGCCGCAACAGUACACCCGCCAGUGGAUAUUCCCGCAGCGCCCGUUGCGCCUUCUAUAGGGCUAGGACAGUUGACCGAGGCCGAGCAGGAGCAGAUGACCAAGAGGCUGGCUCGUUUUCACCGUUUUGAUCCGCCGACCUUCGAUGGUAGUGGCACUGAGGCCUGGGUCGUUGAGGGCUGGGUCAAUGUGAUAAAGAAGUUAUUUGAGGAUCUGUUCAUUCCUUAGAGGGAGCAGGUAUCUUUGGGAGUCCUUUACUUGGCAGGCGAUGCACAUGCUUGGUGGAGGAGAGUGAGGCGAGAUCAGGGACUGGUAGCGUUGCAGCUGAGAUGGGAUGAGUUCUGUGGAAUACUGUAUGGGAUGUAUUUUUCCAACAGUGUGAAACAGAAGCUCAAGGAGGAUUUGAAGAGGAUUCAGUAGGGGGAUCAGCCAGUGCAGGAGUACAUUCGGGAGUUUACUCGACUCCUGAAUUGUGUGCUGUUUGUGGCCAGGGACGAGGCACACAGGGUUUAUCUGUUUGAGCAGAGGCUGAGACCCGACAUCUUCAGGUUUGUGCAGACGCAGAGGUCAAGGACCCUGUAAGCAUCCAUAGAGUAGGCCUUAUGGGUGGAGAGAUGUGAGGUGUCACUUAAGGAGAAGACUCAGGCAGUAGGACAGAGUCAGGACAGGAAGCGCCCAGCUCCUGACGACGGAAGAUAGUCGAGCAGCAGGCAUCCGCCGAGACCACCAUGAUCACGCUCUCUGGGUCAUGGGUCUUCGGGGCGUCAGCAUUCUGGGGGAUUCCGUCAGCAGAGGCAGUCGCAGGGGUUGCCAUAGUGUGUGAUUUAUGGGGGACCACAUGGGGCCCGACAGUGUGAGAAGCGUGAGGGCCGGUAUUUUGGAUGUGGACAGCCAGGGCAUAUGAGAUCAGUUUGUCCCCUAGCUGCAUCUCCAGUACCAUCUACGGCCUCAGCGUAGCCAGCAUCUCAGCAGCCUUUUGGAGCAGCUCUGAGUUUCCGCCAGGAGGACAGAUUGUCUGUGCCGCGUCAGAGUGAGCGGCGACAGCAAGCUCCGAGUGGCAGGGUCUAAAGUUAGGGUCAUUGCCACAGGCACAAGAGGUGCAGAUCCUCGACCAUGUAUUACAGGUUGCAUAGUGUUGUUCGUCAUGUUCGGUGCANGUCCCCUAGCUGCAUCUCCAGUACCAUCUACGGCCUCAGCGUAGCCAGCAUCUCAGCAGCCUUUUGGAGCAGCUCUGAGUUUCCGCCAGGAGGACAGAUUGUCUGUGCCGCGUCAGAGUGAGCGGCGACAGCAAGCUCCGAGUGGCAGGGUCUAUGCAGCCCAGGUGGAGGAUUCUACGGCAACCGACCGAGUGGUGGCAGGUAUCAUUUUGAUUACUGGCAUUAGAGCUCAUAUCCUUUUUGAUACCGGUGCAUCGCAUUCUUUUGUUAGCCGAGCAUUUGCAUUGUUGCAUGGUCUAAAGUUAGGGUCAUUGCCACAGGCACAAGAGGUGCAGAUCCUCGACCAUGUAUUACAGGUUGCAUAGUGUUGUUCGUCAUGUUCGGUGCAGUUGGAUUCGUGGAUCAUGCCCGCAGACCUGUUGGUGUUAGUGCAGCUGCAGGACUUCGACGUAGUGCUCAGUAUGGACUGGCUGGCGCGGUUCUAUGCUACUAUCGAUUGUGGAGCGAGGACGAUGACGUUCCGCGAGCCAGGCCAAGAGAAGUUCAUUUUUAGGGGUUGCAGGAGCACGUUGUUUGCCACUUGGAUAUCUUCGGCGAGGGCUCGACAAAUGAUGAGUAGAGGGUGUGUGGCAUUUCUGGCGACUGUUGUAGAGGUACCUACGGCGGCACCGGGACUCGAGGAUAUUCCUGUAGUCCGCGAGUUUCCGAAUAUGUUUUCCCCAGAGUUGACGACGAUGCCGCCGGAGGGAGAUUGAGCUCGUGAUUGAUGUAGUUCCUGAAACUGCACCAAUCUCGAAGGUACCGUAUCGAAUGGCAUCGGCGGAGCUGAGAGAGCUAAAGGCGCAGCUUCAGGAUCUGAUGGAUAAGGGGUAUGUGAGACCCAGCCGUGCAUUGAUGAUCUAUUUGAUCAGCUGCAAGAAUCUUGUGUCUUCUCGAAAAUUGACCUCCAGUCCGGUUACCACCAGCUGCGGGUGAGGGCCGAGGAUAUUCCCAAGACGGCUUUUCGGACUCGGUACGGGCAUUAUGAGUUUACGGUCAUGCCUUUUGGAUUGACGAAUGCCCCCGCUGCAUUAAUGGAUUUGAUGAACAUAGUGUUCAAGUCGUUCUUGGAUAGAUUUGUAGUAAUCUUCAUUGACGAUAUCUUGAUUUACUCCCGGAGUGAUGCAGAGCAUGAGGAGCACUUGAGUACUGUGCUACAGUUUCUGCGAGAGAAGAAGUUGUAUGCCAAGUUGAAGAAAUACGAGUUCUGGUUCCGGGAGGUUGCUUCCUUAGGCCGCGUGAUUUCUGCUGAGGGAGUAGCAGUGGACCCGAAGAAGAUCGAUGCUAUUCGGGAUUGGCCCAGACCGACGACGAUGACUGAGGUGAGGAGUUUUCUUGGACUGGCAGGAUAUUCCCGUCGGUUUGUGGAAGGCUUUGCGAAGCUUUCCACACCCCUCACUCGAUUGAUUCGAAAGGGGAUUCAGUUCAUCUGGAGUGAGGAUUGUCAGAGGAGCUUUGAUCAGUUGAGACUGAGGUUGACGUCAGCUCCUAUCCUUGCCCUUUCUUUGAUGGGUGAAGGAUUUGUGAUCUUCAGUGAUGCAUCGCACAGCGGGCUGGGCUGUGCGCUGAUGCAGUAUGGUAGGGUAAUUGCUUAUGCUUCACGGCAGUUAAAGAAUUAUGAAAAAAAUUACCCUACGCAUGAUUUGGAGCUUGUCGCAGUAGUCUUUUCUUUGAAGUUGUGGCGGCAUUACUUGUACGGCGAGCACUGCGAGGUUUUUACCGAUCAUAAAAGUCUCAAGUAUCUAUUCACCUAGAGGAAAUUGAAUGUAAGGCAGCGCCGGUGGUUGGAGUUACUGAAGGACUAUGACGUCAGUAUUCAGUAUCAUCCCGGCAAGGCGAAUGUGGUGGCAGAUGCGUUGAGCAGGAAGGCAGUGCAGAACUUGAGUUUGAUGAUCACAUAGUAGAGGUCGUUACUCGAGGAGCUGCAACGGCUGAGGCUCGAGAUAGUGUCCCCUGGGUCUACUGCGAGACUGAUGUCUUUAGUCUUGCAGCCUACUAUGUUGGAUAGGAUCCGAGAGAAACAGAGUGGAGAUCCACACUUGUUGAGGAUUCGAGAGCUAUUAGAUAUGGGACAGGCGGAGGGCUUUGUAGUAGACAGUUUGGGAGUACUAUGGUACAGGGACCGACUGUGUGUGCCUAUGGAUUUAGAGAUCCGAGCGGAUAUUUUGAGAGAGGCUCAUUGUGCUCCUUAUACGGUUCACCCUAGUGAAACCAAGAUGUAUAAAGACUUAAAGGCACAGUUCUGGUGGAACGAAAUGAAGAGGGACAUUGGCGGAUUUGUGGCUUAGUGUCUGACUUGUCAACAGGUGAAGGCCGAGCAUCAGGUACCUGCUGGCAAGCUUCAAAGUCUGUCAGUGCCCGAGUAGAAAUAGGAGCAGAUCACGAUGGACUUCGUCGUAGGAUUACCAAGAGCACAGGGUGGCUUCGAUGCUAUUUGGGUGAUAGUGGACAGACUAACUAAGUCUGCUCACUUCCUGCCAGUUCAGACCACCUGGUCCAGAGAGAGGCUCGUGCAGCAAUACUUGGAUGAGAUCGUCAGGCUGCAUGGUGUGCCGAUGUUGAUUGUAUCGGACAGAGACCGGAGGUUUGUUUCGUAUUUUUGGCGGAGUCUUCAGACAGCCUUGGGUACACAGCUACAUUUCAGCACGGCGUUUCACCCACAGACAGAUGGUCAGUCAGAGAGGACCAUACAGACUCUAGAGGACAUGCUGAGGGCAUGCGUCCUGGACUUUGGAGGAGGGUGGUAUCGACAUUUGAAACUGGCUGAGUUUGCGUAUAACAACAGUUAUCAAACGAGCAUCCAGAUGGCUCCGUUUGAAGCGUUGUAUGGACGCAGAUGUCGAUCCCCUUUGUUUCGGAGUGAUGUGGGUGAAAGGAAGACGCUAGAGCCUGAGAUCUUGUUAGAGGCUGAGGAAAAGGUGAGAGUUGCUCAGCGACACCUUUUGACAGCCAAGAGCUGCCAGAGGAGCAACGCCGAUACCAGGAGACGAGACUUGGAGUUCCAGGUUGGAGAUCCUGUUUUUCUCAAAGUCUCGCCAUCCAGAGGAAUUCGCAGAUUCGGAGUGCGUGGAAAGCUCAGUCCACGUUUCGUUUGCUCUUUUGAGGUAUUGGAGCGAGUUGGACCGGUUGCCUACAGGAUUGCUCUACCUCCACGACUAGCAGGCAUCCACGAUGUUUUCCACGUCUCGGCUUUGAGGAGAUAUGUUUUCGAUCCUUCUCACGUGAUCGACUUCACUCCACUCGGGAUUGGCGAGGAUUUGAGAUACGAGGAGCGACCAUUGCGAAUUCUUGCUCGGGAGACGAAAGAAUUGCGCAAUCGGGUCAUCCCGUAUGUGAAAGUACAGUGGAGUAAUCACGAGGAGCGGGAGGCGACUUGGGAGCCAAAGACGGUGAUGAGGGAGUCCUAUCCCUAUCUGUUUGAUGCUUUAAGCUGAGAUACGCUUAAGUUUCGAGGACGAAACUUUUUAUAAUGGGAGAGGGUGUAGUAUCCCUGGUGUUCAGCUUUUGAGGCUUGUCGACACGCCGUGAGGGUGUUGGGACAAGUCCGAGUCUCGUUGGCGCAAAAUAGACGCAAAACGGACUCAGUAGGGACGCGAGAGCAGGAUGAAGCACUGGAAUAUGCAAAAUGCAGAUUUUCUGCUUGUUGUACCGGUACAACAUCAGGGAUGUACUGGUACACUUUCUGUACCGGUACAGAAUCGAAAGUGUACCGGUAUACUUCGCCUGUUUCCACGCAGCUGCUCUUGGGUUGCCUUUUGUACCGGUACACAUGCCCGUGUACCGGUACACCUGAGUAGAUAAGGGGCUUUUUGGUAAUUUCUUACCUCAUAGACUUCACCCUUAUCCCUACUUUUUAUACCAGUGUAGAGAGGAUGAGAGGGAGGAUUUGACUGGUUUUCUUUCCCUCUCUCUCUAGCUUGGUCCGGUGGUGGAGGAGCUCGGUUGGAGUUCGAUGUCGCCGACGUCGUACCGCGGUGCAGUUCGAGUGUGCAUUCGUUAUCGUAGCAUCGCAAGGAGGCCGGGCGAGGUUGCGAUUCUGCCAUUCUCGACGUCGUGCCAGUUUGGGUUUAGCUUUUGAGGUGGGUUAAUCGUCGAUUUAUCUUCUAAGUAUAUAGAGAUAGUCGGCAUGUGUCGUUGUAGUUGUUUUUGCAUAUCCUAUUCGCUCGAUUCAUGGAUUUGAUGUUUCUUUUACAAAAAAUCUGAAUUGGAGCCUAAUGUUACUAAAUCUACUACACAUGUGGGACUUGGAUAUGACUUAGGAGAAAACUGCGAUUAUGACCUGUCAUAUGCUUAAACUACCAGAUUUAGCUCUAGGAGCCGUUGUUAUUUUUGUAUCGCCGCAGUAUCAGUGUGGUGGAUACUCCAGGUAGUUUAGGUUUCAGUUACGCUCGUGCUGGGAUGUCGGGUGUAUUUUUACAGUAGCGUUCAGACUGUUCCGGAUAGUUGGGUGCUGUCGAGAUUGACAGUGGACCCAGUUUGCCGAGUUGGCAUCAGAUUAUGCCGAGGGCACGUGAUUUGUUGGUUGCUAGACUAGUUGGAACCUGUUUUCUUGACUUUAGCCUGUGAGAGCUUGAUUGAGCUUGACAAAGAUACGCUUGCAUACUCGUUUGGGUCGCGCCCACGAAUGCCACUCCGGA